UCAGACGAUGCGUCAUGCAUAUCAAUAAGCGGAGGAAAAGAAACUAACAAGGAUUCCCCUAGUAACGGCGAGUGAAGCGGGAAGAGCUCAAAUUUGAAAUCUUAAAGGGUUUCCCUUUACGAAUUGUAGUUUAAAGAAGUGUUUUCUGCUGAGGUUUUGGUAAAAGUUCUUUGGAAUAGGACAUCAUAGAGGGUGAGAAUCCCGUAUUUGACCUUUACUUUCAACUUUGUGAUACACUUUCAAAGAGUCGGAUUGUUUGGGAAUGCAGUCCAAAAUGGGUGGUAAAUUUCAUCUAAAGCUAAAUAUUGGCGAGAGACCGAUAGCGAACAAGUACCGUGAGGGAAAGAUGAAAAGAACUUUGAAAGGAGAGUUAAACAGUACGUGAAAUUGUCAAAAGGGAAGCGUUUGACACCAGUGUUGUUUUUCUGAAAAUCAAUUAAAGAAGCUGUUUAUGCUAAGCUGUUUAGACUUUAUCAGCUAUCUGUUUAGUUUUGAGCUUUUCUUUAAUGCACUUUUCAGUUAACAAGUCAACAUCAAUUUCUUUUGCUGUAAAAAAGCUUGAGGAAGGUGGCUUGAGAUUCGUCUUAAGUGUUUAUAGCCUCUUGCCUAUGCAGUCGGAGAGAUUGAGGUCUGCAGCGUAGAUCCUUCGGGGCUAAAUGCAUUUGUGCUAAGUUAUAGCAUUUUAUAGACAACUUGUUGACUAUGAUUUGUCUUGUAGCUUACUCGCUUAUGUUAUUUUACCUACGCUUAGGAUGUUGACACACGCGCGUGCUCG
RNAcentral lists this ribosomal RNA (775 nucleotides) under uncultured Neocallimastigales. RNAcentral's name for it is "partial large subunit ribosomal RNA". It matches the Rfam family "Eukaryotic large subunit ribosomal RNA", at positions 18 to 643 of the family's 3401-position model. The record is from RNAcentral. Lineage: Eukaryota; Fungi; Neocallimastigomycota; Neocallimastigomycetes; Neocallimastigales.